RNAcentral lists this ribosomal RNA (458 nucleotides) under uncultured bacterium. RNAcentral describes it as "partial 16S ribosomal RNA". It matches the Rfam family "Bacterial small subunit ribosomal RNA", at positions 338 to 795 of the family's 1533-position model. The record is from RNAcentral.
CCUACGGGUGGCAGCAGUGAGGAAUAUUGGUCAAUGGGCGAGAGCCUGAACCAGCCAAGUCGCGUGAGGGAGUACUGCCCUAUGGGUUGUAAACCUCUUUUGUCGGGGAGCAAAAGCCGGACGUGUCCGGCUGUGAGAGUACCCGAAGAAAAAGCAUCGGCUAACUCCGUGCCAGCAGCCGCGGUAAUAGGGAGGAUGCGAGCGUUAUCCGGAUUUAUUGGGUUUAAAGGGUGCGCAGGCGGAUUUUUAAGUCAGCGGUAAAAUCGUGGGGCUCAACCCCAUCCAGCCGUUGAAACUGGGGAUCUAGAGUGUGCGAGAGGUAUGCGGAAUGCGUGGUGUAGCGGUGAAAAGCAUAGAUAUCACGCAGAACCCCGAUUGCGAAGGCAGCAUACCGGUGCACAACUGACGCUCAGGCACGAAAGCGUGGGUAUCGAACAGGAUUAGAUACCCCAGUAGUC